RNAcentral lists this ribosomal RNA (253 nucleotides) under uncultured bacterium. Its description in RNAcentral is "partial 16S ribosomal RNA". It matches the Rfam family "Bacterial small subunit ribosomal RNA", at positions 524 to 776 of the family's 1533-position model. The record is from RNAcentral.
UACGUAGGGGGCAAGCGUUGUCCGGAUUUAUUGGGCGUAAAGAGCGUGUAGGCGGCUUGGAAGGUCAGCUGUGAAAACUCGAGGCUCAACCUCGAGACGUCGGUUGAAACCACCUGGCUAGAGUCCGGAAGAGGAGAGUGGAAUUCCCGGUGUAGCGGUGAAAUGCGUAGAUAUCGAGAGGAACACCUGCGGCGAAGGCGGGUUGCUGGGCUGACACUGACGCUGAACUGCGAAAGCUAGGGGAGCGAACGGG